CGGGUACCUUUUCAUCACAAACUUAACCAAAACCCACUCACAAAUGCUGCGUUCAAAUUAAUUUCCUAACAGAGGAACGUUUGCGAAAUGCUGAACCUAUGCUUUGCACCCAGAAUUAAUUAAAAGCUAAUUACUAUCGACUUGAAAAACACCAAAUUGGAAAUUGCAACUAAUGGAUGCACCUCUCUCCCCUUAUCCUUUACACUCCCCCAUCUAGUGGAUCCCUCCCCGAGUAGAAUGAAAAAAAAAGAAAAUUUGAGAGAGUCGGGAGCAAAAAUGACAUUGCAAAUUAUCUUGCUCUCUGACAAUCUACUAAAUCCUC
This 322-nucleotide unclassified non-coding RNA is filed under the name Hevea brasiliensis (rubber tree). Lineage: Eukaryota; Viridiplantae; Streptophyta; Magnoliopsida; Malpighiales; Euphorbiaceae. The record is from RNAcentral.